This 490-nucleotide ribosomal RNA is filed under the name uncultured bacterium. RNAcentral describes it as "partial 16S ribosomal RNA". It matches the Rfam family "Bacterial small subunit ribosomal RNA", at positions 30 to 507 of the family's 1533-position model. The record is from RNAcentral.
AUUGAACGCUGGCGGCAGGCCUAACACAUGCAAGUCGAACGGUAACAGGAAGCAGCUUGCUGCUUCGCUGACGAGCGGCGGACGGGUGAGUAAUGUCUGGGAAGCUGCCUGAUGGAGGGGGAUAACUACUGGAAACGGUAGCUAAUACCGCAUAAUGUCGCAAGACCAAAGAGGGGGACCUUCGGGCCUCUUGCCAUCGGAUGUGCCCAGAUGGGAUUAGCUUGUUGGUGGGGUAACGGCUCACCAAGGCGACGAUCCCUAGCUGGUCUGAGAGGAUGACCAGCCACACUGGAACUGAGACACGGUCCAGACUCCUACGGGAGGCAGCAGUGGGGAAUAUUGCACAAUGGGCGCAAGCCUGAUGCAGCCAUGCCGCGUGUAUGAAGAAGGCCUUCGGGUUGUAAAGUACUUUCAGCGGGGAGAAGGGGAGUAAAGUUAAUACCUUUGCUCAUUGACGUUACCCGCAGAAGAAGCACCGGCUAACUCCGUG